This 171-nucleotide ribosomal RNA is filed under the name Clostridium botulinum C/D str. DC5. RNAcentral describes it as "partial 16S ribosomal RNA". It matches the Rfam family "Bacterial small subunit ribosomal RNA", at positions 1378 to 1533 of the family's 1533-position model. The record is from RNAcentral. Lineage: Bacteria; Bacillati; Bacillota; Clostridia; Eubacteriales; Clostridiaceae.
GUCUUGUACACACCGCCCGUCACACCAUGAGAGCCGGUAACACCGGAAGCCCGUGAGGUAACCGUAAGGAGCCAGCGGUCGAAGGCGGGAUUGGUGAUUGGGGUGAAGUCGUAACAAGGUAGCCGUAGGAGAACCUGCGGCUGGAUCACCUCCUUUCUAGGGAGAAUGGAA